AGUGAAAACAAUGGGCUAGCUGUGCUGUGGUUCUCCUGAUUAAAACUCCAGCUUGUAAAGUCCCAUGUGGGUCCCAUCAGACCCCAUAUUUGCGGUGAAGUACAAAAUAUCACUUUUGACAAUCAACUCACGUGUACCAUGGAGUUUUUAAGAAGCCACCUGAUGUGAUAGCUCAGCAGACUGAAUGCAGAAGAUGGAAGAGUCCGGAUUGCUUCUACCUUGCUCCUCAAAGUGAGAUCCUUGAACCAGCAACUUUGGCAGUCUCUCAGAGGGAGAAAUGCAGCAUCCCAGGUACCUCCACAGUUCUAGGAAUCAGAAGCCAAGUUGUAACAAGAUCCCCAG
Long non-coding RNA from Canis lupus familiaris (dog), 342 nucleotides. RefSeq lists it as uncharacterized. NCBI's taxonomy places the organism in Eukaryota, Metazoa, Chordata, Mammalia, Carnivora, Canidae. The transcript is spliced from 3 exons. The record is from RefSeq and is a predicted model, not a curated record.